This 633-nucleotide ribosomal RNA is filed under the name uncultured bacterium. RNAcentral's name for it is "bacterial SSU rRNA". It matches the Rfam family "Bacterial small subunit ribosomal RNA", at positions 40 to 689 of the family's 1533-position model. The record is from RNAcentral.
CGGCGCGCCUAAUGCAUGCAAGUCGAACGGUACUUUGUUCUUCGGAACAAAGGAGAGUGGCAAACGGGUGAGUAAUGCGUAAGUAAUCUGCCCCUAAGUAGGGGAUAACUCUGAGAAAUCGGAGCUAAUACCUUAUGUGGUGAUGGGGGUAAGGCCUCAGCACUAAAGCCUUAGGGCGCUUGGGGAGGGGCUUGCGUCUGAUUAGCUAGUUGGUAGGGUAACGGUUUACCAAGGCGAUGAUCGGUAGCUGGUCUGAGAGGGUGGUCAGCCACACUGGGACUGAGACACGGCCCAGACUCCUACGGGAGGCAGCAGCAAGGAAUAUUGUGCAAUGGGCGAAAGCCUGACACAGCGACGCCGCGUGGGGGAUGAAGGCCUUCGGGUUGUAAACCCCUUUUCUCAGGGAAGAAUAAUGACGGUACCUGAGGAAUGAGCCUCGGCUAAUUACGUGCCAGCAGCCGCGGUAAUACGUAGGAGGCGAGCGUUAUCCGGAUUUACUGGGUGUAAAGAGGGCGUAGGCGGUUCAUCAAGUCGGAUGUAAAAUUUCCCGGCUUAACCGGGAGGGGUCAUUCGAUACUGUUGGGCUAGAGGGCAGCAGAGGGAGGUGGAAUUCCCGGUGUAGUGGUGAAAUGC